This 1034-nucleotide unclassified non-coding RNA is filed under the name Bombus terrestris (buff-tailed bumblebee). RNAcentral describes it as "misc RNA ENSBTSG00005028113.1". The record is from RNAcentral. Lineage: Eukaryota; Metazoa; Arthropoda; Insecta; Hymenoptera; Apidae.
UUUCAAUGUUGCCCGGAAUUUCACAGUCGAGAAAUCUGCCGUGAAUCAGUCGAAUUCGAACUACUUAACGAGAUACGAGGCAGUGAAUCCGACCGAACAUUAAAGCGACGUUGCGAGCCACGAGAACAGACCUUUGUCCUUGCCUGAUAAACAUUUUUUUUUAUAAACAACCGUGCCACCGUUUCAACGGUUUUACGGUCGUCGAGAUAAACGUCGUUGAAGCUACCAUGAGGGGAGACGUCACGAGAAGCGGAGAAAACAAGCGGCAGACGUUUCUACGAUUGAAGGCAGCUCGAGCUUCGCUUAAAUCAGUGAAACUGUUGGCAAUUGACACUUUCACUGCCGCGCCGAAAUCACAUGUUUCGCUCAGGACGCCACGGGAGUAUUUUUGUUAUUCAAAGCAUAUAAUGGCAAAAUAAUAAUAAAUUGACGAUGUAAGACAACAUUCUUCCCCAAUGGACCGUUUAUCUUAUUGGUGCUCACGGGUGACCACGGUGGCGCCUUGGUAACAGCUGAUAGCGACAUAUUAUAACAAGGCUUCGUUUAUUUCAACAAACCAUUCGCGUUCGUUAUUUCGUCAUAAGCAAAACGUGCAGAAUAUAUUGUUGAAACGUGUAGAAGAUAUUAGUAAACGAUAUUUGCUCAUUCUAUAUAUAAUAGUAAGGUAUGUUCACGCUUCUAACUUCAAUUAUAUGAUUAUAAAGCAGCAUUUACGAUUAUUUUCUAAGCUGUGUUUAUAAUAAUAUUCGUAAACUACCCCUCAAAGAUAUGGAUGCAAACACAGUGCACCGUUAGAUGCAAGAUUUGUUCUCAUUUUCUUUUUAUUGAUGUUCUAAUAAAAAUGUUUAAUCACUUUUUAUUUCAAAGUAUCUUCUGUUUAUCGAUUAUACUCAAAAUGCCCUAACUGUCAAUUUUCAUACAAUUUUUACAAUUGUAAGAAGUUCAAGCGCUUCGGUCACCAAUGACCACCGUGGCGUCACAGGAGAAACCGUGGCCGGUCAUAUAUGACCCACGUGACAGUCAAAGUAUUAAAU